AUCUGUGAUUAUUUGACAAAUGAUAACAACAUUCCUUCCUCCCCUCUGGUUUCAUUUUAGAUAACCCAGAGAAAGAUCACCUGCGGCGUCCUUGAUCAUGCAGCAGUCCUAGGAUAAUCAGAACCGUGGACAGCACCAUGCAGCUCCGGCUCCUCCCCAUGAGAUGCUCUCCAGCUGAUGGAGAGAUGAAGGCUGAAAGCUCGGAAGGUCAACACAAAGCCUGCGAAUUCCCCUGGGAUCACAUAGCUGCUGUCUGUAACUUUGGGGAAGAAAAAACACAUGAUUUUCUAAGGAACUGCAUUGAAUGAUGCUUGUGGUAACACUGGACGAUGCCUCUGACUGCAGGGAACAGGAGUGACUGACCCUAGGGUCUCAGCUGCUGCCUUGGCAAUCCAUCCAGGUGAGUGUCUGUGCCUCCUCCCACAGCUGUUCCCACCUAGGAGUAGGCCUGGCAUUGUUCCUGAGGCAGAUCUAUUUUUGGAGAGGCAGGAUCAUCUGACGGGUGGAGUUAUCUCUAGGACUGCAGGAUGACCUUGCCAUACUUUUCCUUGGGAAUG
This 557-nucleotide long non-coding RNA is filed under the name Cavia porcellus (domestic guinea pig). Its description in RNAcentral is "lncRNA (ENSCPOG00000030589.1)". The record is from RNAcentral. Lineage: Eukaryota; Metazoa; Chordata; Mammalia; Rodentia; Caviidae.